GACGAACGCUGGCGGCGUGCUUAACACAUGCAAGUCGAACGGAAAGGCCCUGCUUUUGUGGGGUGCUCGAGUGGCGAACGGGUGAGUAACACGUGAGUAACCUGCCCUUGACUUUGGGAUAACUUCAGGAAACUGGGGCUAAUACCGGAUAGGAGCUCCUGCUGCAUGGUGGGGGUUGGAAAGUUUCGGCGGUUGGGGAUGGACUCGCGGCUUAUCAGCUUGUUGGUGGGGUAGUGGCUUACCAAGGCUUUGACGGGUAGCCGGCCUGAGAGGGUGACCGGCCACAUUGGGACUGAGAUACGGCCCAGACUCCUACGGGAGGCAGCAGUGGGGAAUAUUGCACAAUGGGCGGAAGCCUGAUGCAGCAACGCCGCGUGCGGGAUGACGGCCUUCGGGUUGUAAACCGCUUUCGCCUGUGACGAAGCGUGAGUGACGGUAAUGGGUAAAGAAGCACCGGCUAACUACGUGCCAGCAGCCGCGGUGAUACGUAGGGUGCGAGCGUUGUCCGGAUUUAUUGGGCGUAAAGGGCUCGUAGGUGGUUGAUCGCGUCGGAAGUGUAAUCUUGGGGCUUAACCCUGAGCGUGCUUUCGAUACGGGUUGACUUGAGGAAGGUAGGGGAGAAUGGAAUUCCUGGUGGAGCGGUGGAAUGCGCAGAUAUCAGGAGGAACACCAGUGGCGAAGGCGGUUCUCUGGGCCCUUCCUGACGCUGAGGUGCGAAAGCGUGGGGAGCGAACAGGCUUAGAUACCCUGGUAGUCCACGCUGUAAACGGUGGGUACUAGGUGUGGGGUCCAUUCCACGGGUUCCGUGCCGUAGCUAACGCUUUAAGUACCCCGCCUGGGGAGUACGGCCGCAAGGCUAAAACUCAAAGGAAUUGACGGGGCCCCGCACAAGCGGCGGAGCAUGCGGAUUAAUUCGAUGCAACGCGUAGAACCUUACCUGGGUUUGACAUGGAUCGGGAGUGCUCAGAGAUGGGUGUGCCUCUUUUGGGGUCGGUUCACAGGUGGUGCAUGGCUGUCGUCAGCUCGUGUCGUGAGAUGUUGGGUUAAGUCCCGCAACGAGCGCAACCCUUGUUCACUGUUGCCAGCACGUUAUGGUGGGGACUCAGUGGAGACCGCCGGGGUCAACUCGGAGGAAGGUGGGGAUGACGUCAAGUCAUCAUGCCCCUUAUGUCCAGGGCUUCACGCAUGCUACAAUGGCUGGUACAGAGAGUGGCGAGCCUGUGAGGGUGAGCGAAUCUCGGAAAGCCGGUCUCAGUUCGGAUUGGGGUCUGCAACUCGACCACAUGAAGUCGGAGUCGCUAGUAAUCGCAGAUCAGCAACGCUGCGAUGAAUACGUUCCCGGG
RNAcentral lists this ribosomal RNA (1343 nucleotides) under uncultured bacterium. RNAcentral's name for it is "16S ribosomal RNA". It matches the Rfam family "Bacterial small subunit ribosomal RNA", at positions 28 to 1378 of the family's 1533-position model. The record is from RNAcentral.